GAACGCUGGCGGCGUGCUUAACACAUGCAAGUCGAGCGAUGAAGUUUCUUCGGAAAUGGAUUAGCGGCGAACGGGUGAGGAACACGUGAAGAAUCUGCCCUCCACUUUGGGAUAACACAGGGAAACCUGUGCUAAUACCGAAUAUUGAAACAUAAGUGGCAUCACUGAGUUUUGAAAGAAUUUCGGUGGAGGAUGACUUCGCGGCCUAUCAGCUAGUUGGUGAGGUAAUGGCUCACCAAGGCAACGACGGGUAGCCGGCCUGAGAGGGCGACCGGCCACACUGGGACUGAGACACGGCCCAGACUCCUACGGGAGGCAGCAGUGGGGAAUAUUGGGCAAUGGAGGAAACUCUGACCCAGCGACGCCGCGUGCGGGACGAAGGCCUUCGGGUUGUAAACCGCUUUCAGUAGGGAAGAAGCGAAAGUGACGGUACCUACAAAAGAAGCACCGGCUAACUAUGUGCCAGCAGCCCGCGGUAAUACAUAGGGUGCAAGCGUUGUCCGGAAUUAUUGGGCGUAAAGAGCUCGUAGGUCGUUUGUUACGUCGGAUGUGAAAACCUGAGGCUCAACCUCAGGCCUGCAUUCGAUACGGGCAAACUAAAGUUUGGUAGGGGAGACUGGAAUUCCUGGUGUAGCGGUGGAAUGCGCAGAUAUCAGGAGGAA
Molecule: ribosomal RNA, 662 nt
Filed under: uncultured bacterium
Lineage: Bacteria
Description: bacterial SSU rRNA
Rfam family: Bacterial small subunit ribosomal RNA
Source: RNAcentral